GGGGAUAUGGCGAAACUGGUAGACGCAACGGACUCAAAAAAUCCGUUGAUUUUUCAAAAUCGUGAGGGUUCAAGUCCCUCUAUCCCCA
Molecule: transfer RNA, 88 nt
Filed under: Salvinia cucullata
Lineage: Eukaryota; Viridiplantae; Streptophyta; Polypodiopsida; Salviniales; Salviniaceae
Description: tRNA-Leu
Rfam family: tRNA
About the family: Transfer RNA (tRNA) molecules are approximately 80 nucleotides in length. Their secondary structure includes four short double-helical elements and three loops (D, anti-codon, and T loops). Further hydrogen bonds mediate the characteristic L-shaped molecular structure. tRNAs have two regions of fundamental functional importance: the anti-codon, which is responsible for specific mRNA codon recognition, and the 3' end, to which the tRNAs corresponding amino acid is attached (by aminoacyl-tRNA synthetases). tRNAs cope with the degeneracy of the genetic code in two manners: having more than one tRNA (with a specific anti-codon) for a particular amino acid; and 'wobble' base-pairing, i.e. permitting non-standard base-pairing at the 3rd anti-codon position.
Source: RNAcentral